AUACGGGGGAUGCAAGCGUUAUCCGGAAUCAUUGGGCGUAAAGCGCCUGUAGGUUGUUUAAUAAGUCUGUUGUUAAAGACUAGGGCUUAACCCUAGAAAAGCAAUGGAAACUACUAGACUAGAGUAUGGCAGGGGUAGAGGGAAUUUCUAGUGUAGCGGUGAAAUGCGUAGAUAUUAGAAAGAACACCGGUGGCGAAAGCGCUCUACUGGACCAUUACUGACACUCAGAGGCGAAAGCUAGGGUAGCAAAAGGGAUUAGAUACCCCUGUAGUCCUAGCCGUAAACGAUGGAUACUACAUGUUGUGUUUAUUUCACAGUAUGGUAGCUAACGCGUUAAGUAUCCCGCCUGGGGAGUACGCUCGCAAGGGUGAAACUCAAAGGAAUUGACGGGGGCCCGCACAAGCGGUGGAGCAUGUGGUUUAAUUCGAUGCAACGCGAAGAACCUUACCAGGGCUUGACAUACUGCGAAUCUUUCCGAAAGGAAAGAGUGCCUUCGGGAAUGCAGAUACAGGUGGUGCAUGGCUGUCGUCAGCUCGUGUCGUGAGAUGUUGGGUUAAGUCCCGCAACGAGCGCAACCCUUGUUUUUAGUUACCAAUUCGUUGGGUUUUCUAGAAAGACUGCCGGUGACAAACCGGAGGAAGGUGAGGAUGACGUCAAGUCAGCAUGCCCCUUAUGUCCUGGGCUACACACGUGCUACAAUGGUUAGGACAAAGAGUUGCGAGCUUGUGAAAGUCAGCUAAUCUCAUAAACCUAACCCAAGUUC
RNAcentral lists this ribosomal RNA (763 nucleotides) under Dicrateria rotunda. RNAcentral describes it as "bacterial SSU rRNA". It matches the Rfam family "Bacterial small subunit ribosomal RNA", at positions 523 to 1294 of the family's 1533-position model. Lineage: Eukaryota; Haptophyta; Isochrysidales; Isochrysidaceae. The record is from RNAcentral.